UGCCUCAGUAACGGCGAGUGAAGCGGCAAAAGCUCAAAUUUGAAACCCUCGGGAUUGUAAUUUGAAGAUUUGGCAUUGGAGAAAGCUAACCCAAGUUACUUGGAAUAGUACGUCAUAGAGGGUGACAACCCCGUCUGGCUAACCGUUCUCCAUGUAUUGCCUUAUCAAAGAGUCGAGUUGUUUGGGAAUGCAGCUCAAAGUGGGUGGUAAACUCCAUCUAAAGCUAAAUACUGGUGAGAGACCGAUAGCGAACAAGUACUGUGAAGGAAAGGUGAAAAGAACUUUGAAAAGAGAGUGAAAUAGUAUGUGAAAUUGUUGAUAGGGAAGGAAAUGAGCGGAGAGUGGUUGAGGUUUCAGCCUUCCYUUGGGGUGGUGUAUUGCCGACGCCGAGUCAUUGUUCGCGAGACGAGAAAAACAAACGGGUUGCAUUCAUGCUUCUCACCUUUUUCUCCCACUGCAGUCAACGACAUAAUCCGCCCAUUUCACCCGUCUUGAAACACGGACCAAGGAGUCUAAUGGAUAUGUGAGUGUUAGGGUGCCAAACCCCAGCGCGCAAUGAAAGUGAAUGAUUCGUUCAGAAUCGACCGAACUUGAUUUUUAUGACAGUUUUGAGUAAACACAUCCAUUGGGACCCGAAAGAUGGUGAACUAUGCCUGAAUAGGGUGAAGUCAGAGGAAACUCUGAUGGAGGCUCGUAGCGGUUCUGACGUGCAAAUCGAUCGUAGAAUUUGGGUAUAGGGGCGAAA
This 745-nucleotide ribosomal RNA is filed under the name Yarrowia sp. RNAcentral describes it as "LSU rRNA". It matches the Rfam family "Eukaryotic large subunit ribosomal RNA", at positions 76 to 928 of the family's 3401-position model. Lineage: Eukaryota; Fungi; Ascomycota; Dipodascomycetes; Dipodascales. The record is from RNAcentral.